Molecule: long non-coding RNA, 321 nt
Filed under: Coturnix japonica (Japanese quail)
Lineage: Eukaryota; Metazoa; Chordata; Aves; Galliformes; Phasianidae
Description: lncRNA (ENSCJPG00005000753.1)
Source: RNAcentral
AUGACUUUACCACUAGAAGGUUUCCUCAUUUCACAGGAUUGGUUUGUGUUGAGCCAGAUCUCACCAAGUUGCUUCUGUGGUGACUAUUUCUAUCUAAAGAUGCAUGGAUGCAUUUAUUUUUUCAGCUUGUUCUACCAGUAUCAACCUUUGUGUCCAAUAGCUGGGACAAAGAAAGAAGUUAAACCUCAUCAAAAUGAAAUAGUGCCUUAUAUGAGUGUUGAGCAGAAAGGCAAAAAACAUGAAAUGAGUUCAGAAGAACAUUGCAUGCCUCAAAAGAAGAUAAGCCUGGAAAGUAAACCUACGUUGUCUUUCCCAAAAUGA